GCUCCCUGCUCCGCGGCGGCCGAGGCGGCGCGGGAGCUGCGGGACGCGGUGGCGGCCCUCGCCGUGCACCGCACCGCCGACGAGGACGCGCUGCGGCGCCGCGCCGUCGCGCUGGACGCCAACGUUCGCCGCCUACAGGGCUCCCUCGCCCCCCUCGACCCCGCCACGCUCGACAUUACUACUCCAUAUGCUAGCCGCAGCGAGGGCGACGACAACGUGGCGGAGGCGCAGGCGCCGGCCAAGAAGGGCGGCCACGGCGGCGCGGCCGCCGCCGACCCGCGCCUCCAGGGCAUUUCCGACGCCAUCCGCGUCGUCCCGCACUUCCCCAAGCAAGGUUCGUCCGCCCAUCUCUGUGCAAAACCAUUACUACCAACCAACCAUAACCCUCCUGUCUGA
RNAcentral lists this ribosomal RNA (396 nucleotides) under Triticum aestivum (bread wheat). RNAcentral describes it as "partial small subunit ribosomal RNA". Lineage: Eukaryota; Viridiplantae; Streptophyta; Magnoliopsida; Poales; Poaceae. The record is from RNAcentral.